Molecule: ribosomal RNA, 915 nt
Filed under: Triticum aestivum (bread wheat)
Lineage: Eukaryota; Viridiplantae; Streptophyta; Magnoliopsida; Poales; Poaceae
Description: partial small subunit ribosomal RNA
Source: RNAcentral
AUGAAGACCUUCCUCGUCUUUGCCCUCAUCGCCGUUGUGGCGACAAGUGCCAUUGCACAGAUGGAGACUAGCUGCAUCUCUGGUUUGGAGAGACCAUGGCAGCAGCAACCAUUACCACCACAACAGUCAUUUUCACAACAACCACCAUUUUCACAACAACAACAACAACCAUUACCUCAACAACCAUCAUUUUCGCAGCAACAACCACCAUUUUCGCAGCAACAACCAAUUCUAUCGCAGCAACCACCAUUUUCACAGCAACAACAACCAGUUCUACCGCAACAAUCACCAUUUUCGCAGCAACAACAACUAGUUUUACCUCCACAACAACAACAACAACAACUUGUGCAACAGCAAAUCCCUAUUGUUCAGCCAUCCGUUUUGCAGCAGCUAAACCCAUGCAAAGUAUUCCUCCAGCAGCAGUGCAGCCCUGUAGCAAUGCCACAACGUCUUGCUAGGUCACAGAUGUGGCAGCAGAGCAGUUGCCAUGUGAUGCAACAACAAUGUUGCCAGCAAUUGCAGCAAAUCCCCGAACAAUCCCGCUAUGAAGCAAUCCGUGCCAUCAUCUACUCCAUCAUCCUGCAAGAACAACAACAGGGCUUUGUCCAACCUCAGCAGCAACAACCCCAACAGUCAGGUCAAGGUGUCUCCCAAUCCCAACAGCAGUCGCAGCAGCAGCUCGGACAAUGUUCUUUCCAACAACCUCAACAGCAACUGGGUCAACAGCCUCAACAACAACAACAACAGGUACUACAGGGUACCUUUUUGCAGCCACACCAGAUAGCUCACCUUGAGGCGGUGACUUCCAUUGCACUCCGUACCUUGCCAACGAUGUGCAGUGUCAAUGUGCCGUUGUACAGCGCCACCACCAGUGUGCCAUUCGGCGUUGGCACCGGAGUUGGUGCCUACUGAUAA